MicroRNA precursor from Dipodomys ordii (Ord's kangaroo rat), 79 nucleotides. NCBI's taxonomy places the organism in Eukaryota, Metazoa, Chordata, Mammalia, Rodentia, Heteromyidae. The record is from Ensembl.
UUCCCUUCCACUUUAACAUGGGUGUGCUUUCUGUGAGUUUUAAAUAACAGAGUAAGUGCUUCCAUGUUUUAGUAGAAGU